ACAGCGAUCCCUGUCGGUCCUGCUGUCUCCUCCAGCCUCACCACCCCACCCCAGCCCCCAUCUCCCAGCACUGGGCGAGUGCUAUGACUGCCGGGGCGAGGCAUCCUAAAGGUGUUGGGGCUUCACUCCCUGACCCCACGAAGGCGGCCAUCCUUUGGUGUCCCUCCUAAGGGGCCCAACAUCCCCUUCAAAAGGAAAGCUAGUGUGGCUGCCCUUGAAUGGGAAGGACGCCGGCCACCCUCCUGAGGGUGCCAUCUGUGUAUCUCAAGAGGACCCAACCUCCCUUUUGUGGUGGGAGAGGAAAGAAAUGAGCCUCGGAGCUGUGCCAGGGAGGAGACGGCGGGCACGCCACACCUUGGGCUUCCUGGACCCUCCCCCUUCACCUGUCCCUUCCAGGCAUCGAUCGAGAUCCUCAAGAGGAGAUCCUCUCUUCUCCAAACUCCCGCGAGCAUCACAUCCAGAGAGUGGCCCUGGUGUCCAAGGCUUUGGCAACUCCCCUUCUGACGCAUCCCCCUCUUCCAGCCAAAGUGAAUCCUUUCCUAUCCCAGAUUCCCUGCUCAGCGGUGUUGCGAGCCGAGCCGCAAGCCCAGACGGCGCCCGCCUUCCGCAUCAGAACCCACCAGGACCUGGCCACAUGUUGAAGCGUCCCCGCUAGUAACCGAAGCAGGCGGGAGUGGGAGGUCGCUGUGCAGCAGCCCUGCCCCGGCCAACGGCUCCAGGCUGCGAGCCGCAGCCGCCGCCACCUCGCAGAGACGGCCGACCGACGGAAGGCACACGGCACCCGACGGCCGACGGACGGAAGGACACACGGCACCCCGACGUGGUCUCACCCAAGCCCGCUGAACUGGAAUCUGAUGGGGCCUCCGCAUCUGUCUACAAAAUCCCAGGGAAUACGGAGGCCAGAGACACACACACGACAGCAGCGGGAUGCAGUCGGCCCGGACAGAGGGGUCUCCGGGAGUGACCAGCCAGCAUUUCUACCCGAUGAAGAGUGGGGGGCAAAGACUGAUGGGGGGGCCACACCAAGAGAAGCCUCGCAGGCGUCGGCCAUC
Long non-coding RNA from Mustela lutreola (European mink), 1052 nucleotides. RefSeq lists it as uncharacterized. The transcript has 3 exons. Lineage: Eukaryota; Metazoa; Chordata; Mammalia; Carnivora; Mustelidae. The record is from RefSeq and is a predicted model, not a curated record.